This 789-nucleotide ribosomal RNA is filed under the name uncultured bacterium. Its description in RNAcentral is "bacterial SSU rRNA". It matches the Rfam family "Bacterial small subunit ribosomal RNA", at positions 8 to 794 of the family's 1533-position model. The record is from RNAcentral.
AGAGUUUGAUCAUGGCUCAGGACGAACGCUGGCGGCGUGCCUAACACAUGCAAGUCGAACGGAACUGUUUUGAAAGAUUUCUUCGGAAUGAAUUUGAUUUAGUUUAGUGGCGGACGGGUGAGUAACGCGUGAGUAACCUGCCUUCAAGAGGGGGAUAACAUUCUGAAAAGAAUGCUAAUACCGCAUGACAUAUCGGAAUCACAUGAUUUUGAUAUCAAAGAUUUUAUCGCUUGAAGAUGGACUCGCGUCCGAUUAGUUAGUUGGUGAGGUAACGGCUCACCAAGACCGCGAUCGGUAGCCGGACUGAGAGGUUGAACGGCCACAUUGGGACUGAGACACGGCCCAGACUCCUACGGGAGGCAGCAGUGGGGGAUAUUGCGCAAUGGGGGCAACCCUGACGCAGCAACGCCGCGUGAAGGAUGAAGGUUUUCGGAUUGUAAACUUCUUUUAUUAAGGACGAAACUUGACGGUACUUAAUGAAUAAGCUCCGGCUAACUACGUGCCAGCAGCCGCGGUAAUACGUAGGGAGCAAGCGUUGUCCGGAUUUACUGGGUGUAAAGGGUGCGUAGGCGGCUUUGCAAGUCAGAUGUGAAAUCUAUGGGCUCAACCCAUAAACUGCAUUUGAAACUGUAGAGCUUGAGUGAAGUAGAGGCAGGCGGAAUUCCCCGUGUAGCGGUGAAAUGCGUAGAGAUGGGGAGGAACACCAGUGGCGAAGGCGGCCUGCUGGGCUUUAACUGACGCUGAGGCACGAAAGCGUGGGUAGCAAACAGGAUUAGAUACCCUGGUAGU